GCCUGCAGCCACACCACCCUGAACUGAACUUGUCCACACUGGAGCUUGUCUCUUGGAAGCUAAGCGGGGUUAGGCCCAGUUAGUACUAGGAUGAGAGCUCUCUUGGAAAUUCUGGGUGCUGUAGGCU
This is a ribosomal RNA of Apteryx haastii (Great spotted kiwi), 127 nucleotides long. NCBI's taxonomy places the organism in Eukaryota, Metazoa, Chordata, Aves, Apterygiformes, Apterygidae. The record is from Ensembl.